UACGUAGGGCGCAAGCGUUGUCCGGAAUUAUUGGGCGUAAAGAGCUCGUAGGCGGUUUGUCGCGUCUGUCGUGAAAGCUUGGGGCUUAACCCUAAGUCUGCGGUGGAUACGGGCAGACUAGAGGCAGGUAGGGGAGAACGGAAUUCCCGGUGUAGCGGUGAAAUGCGCAGAUAUCGGGAGGAACACCGGUGGCGAAGGCGGUUCUCUGGGCCUGUACUGACGCUGAGGCGCGAAAGCGUGGGGAGCAAACAGG
RNAcentral lists this ribosomal RNA (253 nucleotides) under uncultured bacterium. RNAcentral's name for it is "partial 16S ribosomal RNA". It matches the Rfam family "Bacterial small subunit ribosomal RNA", at positions 524 to 776 of the family's 1533-position model. The record is from RNAcentral.